This 68-nucleotide small RNA is filed under the name Candidatus Protofrankia californiensis. RNAcentral's name for it is "Candidatus Frankia californiensis ASdes TB sRNA". It matches the Rfam family "ASdes TB sRNA". The record is from Rfam by way of RNAcentral. Lineage: Bacteria; Bacillati; Actinomycetota; Actinomycetes; Frankiales; Frankiaceae.
AGGGCGACCGGGUCGAUACCACGGGUGACCAUCAGGUAGUCCCGCAUCACGAUGCUGUGACGUCCCUC